AAACCAUGGUGGGGACAAAGUCUAAGCAUUUCGUUGAAACUCUCCCACACAUCAUAAAGAGAUUCCCCAUCUUUCUGAGUGAAUCGUGUGAUUUGAUCCCUCAAUUU
RNAcentral lists this small nucleolar RNA (107 nucleotides) under Medicago truncatula (barrel medic). RNAcentral describes it as "snoRNA gene21657". It matches the Rfam family "Plant small nucleolar RNA R71". From Rfam's summary of the family: R71 is a member of the C/D box family of snoRNAs containing the C (UGAUGA) and D (CUGA) box motifs. The record is from Rfam by way of RNAcentral. Lineage: Eukaryota; Viridiplantae; Streptophyta; Magnoliopsida; Fabales; Fabaceae.